RNAcentral lists this ribosomal RNA (132 nucleotides) under Triticum aestivum (bread wheat). RNAcentral's name for it is "partial small subunit ribosomal RNA". Lineage: Eukaryota; Viridiplantae; Streptophyta; Magnoliopsida; Poales; Poaceae. The record is from RNAcentral.
AUAGAAACAACAACUUUAGUCGCCAUCUCCAUAUCUGGUUUACUUGUAAUCUUUACUGGAUAUGCCUUAUAUAUCGCAUUUGGGCAACCCUCUCAACAAUUAAGAGAUCCAUUUGAAGAACACUGAGACUAA